RNAcentral lists this long non-coding RNA (209 nucleotides) under Elaeis guineensis (African oil palm). RNAcentral describes it as "long non-coding RNA (EGUI_LNC004669)". The record is from RNAcentral. Lineage: Eukaryota; Viridiplantae; Streptophyta; Magnoliopsida; Arecales; Arecaceae.
GAAAUCUAAUUCACCGACUUGGUUCAAGGUGAUGUUCACUGUAUAUCUUUAGAUAUAUAUAGUCAACACUAAGUGGAGGUUCAAACCUGAAAGAUACCUUCACCCAUUGCAUAGUAUAGGAUGGCCAGCAUAUGAGGUUUAUAUUUAUUGAUUUUCACUUAUUUUAUACUUUUAAAUAAGUUUAAUGUUCUUAAAAUUUUAAAAUCAUG